Non-coding RNA from Bombyx mori (domestic silkworm), 86 nucleotides. NCBI's taxonomy places the organism in Eukaryota, Metazoa, Arthropoda, Insecta, Lepidoptera, Bombycidae. The record is from Rfam.
UUAACUCAAAUUUGGAUGGAGUUGGAUCGUUUGCCUACGUUUGCCGCUAGGGGGGCGCUGUUCCAACUGCAUACAAAUUUGUGUUA